Pseudophryne corroboree (corroboree frog) is the source of this 451-nucleotide long non-coding RNA. RefSeq lists it as uncharacterized. The transcript is spliced from 3 exons. The record is from RefSeq and is a predicted model, not a curated record. NCBI's taxonomy places the organism in Eukaryota, Metazoa, Chordata, Amphibia, Anura, Myobatrachidae.
GGCAGCUUUAGGCAGCAGCCUAUGGGCGGCGACCACUGGAGGGCGGCACCGCACACUGAAUGAGAGAGAGAGAACGCUUUCUUUAACAUCCUGCCUCGCCUCAGCUCAGAUAACCUCCUCCUCUUCUGUAAGAGACGAGGAGCAGCCAGGGAUGUCGCCUAAUUGUCAGCACCCGCACCGAGUCUGUACAGUUAAACUAAAAUCAUGCAGCCACUGGACAGACAUCAUCUCCACCAUCAUCUGGGACAAACAGGAAAAGCAGCCGGCUCUGUGUGUGAUCACCUAUACACUGAGUCUCUUGGGGGCGUAUCCAGAUCUCUUGUUACUUGGCCUAGUUUUUUGACAGCAUAGCCGUGAGACUACAAUUAACACCUGUGCUAUCUGCUAUCCAGUGUAUGUUCUUACUUUCAUAACAUUAUUCGAUUUGCAAUAUCCCACUGUGAGACCUACA